AUUUACUGGUCGCUCAAAGUCGCCGGAAUCUGGGCAGUGUCGCCGGAGAAGUUGCAGCUUCUUGUUCUUCGCGAUUUCUUACCCAGAACUUGUCUAAUUUCGCCCAGAAUUAAUAUAUGAUCUUCCAGAAACAAAAUGGGACAGGUUUGGAGUGAUUUGGAUGAGAGGAAAAGGAGAAUCGAAGAUAUGAAGUUUUGGAGCUUAAAUCUUGAAUUUGAGAAGGGCUAAGAGCUUCUCAUUCUGCCUCUCACGUUUCUGAACCUAAUACUAAUGCCCUAGGACCUCAAGAGCUUCAGAAUGCACAGCAUGCCAGAGACGGUGACCGGAGAUGCGUUUUCCACGGGUUUUGAGCGAGGUGGUACAAUGGGCAGAUGAGUCUCGCUUCCAGAAAGAGAAUGGUGGUGGUUUCGUGCAGUGGGUCGAUCGGACGGAGGAGGAAAUGGCAUUUACUUGUCGCUCAAAGGCGCCGGAAUCUGGGCAGUGUAGCCGGAGAAGGUGCGGGUUAACAAAAUGGGACAGGUUUGGAGUGAUUUGGAUGAGAGGAAAAGGAGAAUCGAAGAUAUGAAGUUUUGGAGCUUAAAUCUUGAAUUUGAGAAGGGCUAAGAGCUUCUCAUUCUGCCUCUCACGUUUCUGAACCUAAUACUAAUGCCCUAGGACCUCAAGAGCUUCAGAAUGCACGAAUUUAUAGUGCUGGAAGUGAUUAGCAAGGAAAUCAAGUUUAUUUCCUUAAGCAUGUUGCCUCACCAAUGAAGUUUCAUGCAUGGUGAUUAACAUUCAGCUUAUGGGAUGUUCUGAAGCUCAUUUAUGAGCUGGCUAUGUAAUGAUUAAGCUGCAGAAAUUUUUGGCUUUACUUGGGCAUAAUGAUGAUGGUGAAUAGUAAUUUUACUAUUCAUUCACCCAGAACUUGUCUAAUUUCGCCCAGAAUUAAUAUAUGAUCUUCCAGAAACAAAAUGGGACAGGUUUGGAGUGAUUUGGAUGAGAGGAAAAGGAGAAUCGAAGAUAUGAAGUUUUGGAGCUUAAAUCUUGAAUUUGAGAAGGGCUAAGAGCUUCUCAUUCUGCCUCUCACGUUUC
RNAcentral lists this long non-coding RNA (1071 nucleotides) under Lotus japonicus. Its description in RNAcentral is "long non-coding RNA (LJAP_LNC000725)". Lineage: Eukaryota; Viridiplantae; Streptophyta; Magnoliopsida; Fabales; Fabaceae. The record is from RNAcentral.